Molecule: transfer RNA, 86 nt
Filed under: Kwoniella heveanensis CBS 569
Lineage: Eukaryota; Fungi; Basidiomycota; Tremellomycetes; Tremellales; Cryptococcaceae
Also listed under: 1 other name
Description: tRNA-Ala
Rfam family: tRNA
About the family: Transfer RNA (tRNA) molecules are approximately 80 nucleotides in length.
Source: RNAcentral
GGGGGUGUGGUCAAGGGGUAUGACAAGCGAUCCGCAUAUAACAGGACGCUUUUCGCUUAGCCUGGGUUCGAGUCCCAGCUCCUCCA